GUCUACAGCCAUACCACCCUGAACGUGCCUGACCUCAUCUGAUCUCAGAAGCUAAGAAGGGUCGGGCCUGGUUAGUACUUGGAUGGAAGUAUAAUGUUAGCUGUGGGCU
This is a ribosomal RNA of Pan paniscus (pygmy chimpanzee), 109 nucleotides long. NCBI's taxonomy places the organism in Eukaryota, Metazoa, Chordata, Mammalia, Primates, Hominidae. The record is from Ensembl.